Molecule: long non-coding RNA, 1263 nt
Organism: Metopolophium dirhodum (rose-grain aphid)
Lineage: Eukaryota; Metazoa; Arthropoda; Insecta; Hemiptera; Aphididae
Exons: 3
Source: RefSeq, a predicted model, not a curated record
UGAUUAUUAAAUUUUAACGAUUUUUAAGUAAGAUAAAUGCUUGUGUUGCUAACAUGUGACUUCAAAAAAAUUUUUCAAAAUGCAACGAAUGUUCCUGAUCUCAGUAUUACAUAGUACACAUAUAAAUAAUAAUAAGACAAGAUUCAGAAGCCAACUAGCUAGUUAUUCAAAAACACACAAUAUUAUAACAAUCGAUUGAUGUAUUGAUCAACUAUGAAGAUCUCAGUAGUAUAAAAUAUUUUUAUUAGUUAGGUAGGUAUUGGUGUAUGUUGUAUUAUACUAGGUACCUACCUACUAAUAAUGGUUAUAUUAUUAUAUAGGUUUUCGGUGGCUAGUCAAAUGGGGGAAUGAAGGGUUUGGAUAUUAAUAUUAUCAUCUUACAACGAACAAUUAUAUUUUUUAAUGAUCAAAUAAUGCAUGUUAACCUCCCCUCCACAAUCGUGACAAAAUCAUUUGAUCGCCACUGGGUACCUAUAUUGUAUAAUGCAUGCUAGAAAGCCUUGAAGGUUAAAAGGUAAAAAUUAUUUGAUGAAGUUGAAGAGUAAUAUUUUUUAAUCAUAUAAUAUUAUAUUAUACCUAAUGAUAUUAUAUUAUUACAUUUUUAAUAAUAUUAUUCAAUUACCUAUAUACCUAUGAUAAAAAGUAAAAACAGAUUCUGUCUUAAUGCUUAUAUAUACUAACUUAUAAAUAUCUUUGUGGUCAAUUAAAUUAAUAUUUGUCUAAUAUUGUCUUAAUAUUAAUUCAUUAACAUUCAUUAGUCAGUCCCAGAUUUACUCUAAUUACACAAAAUAAAAUAAAAUAAAUUUUAUUUUUAAAUAGCUAACCUACCUAUGUAGUUUAGAACAGACUCCAUUUAUGACUAUUAAAUUAUAUUUACUUAUUUUUUUAAUAAAAAAUUAAUUAUAUUAGGUACCUACUUUAGAAGAUUUUGUAUUUGCCAACUAUAGUUUUAUUAAUUAAUGCUAUUUUUUAAAACUAUACUAAAUUUAUAAUAUCAUUUAUUUUAUAUGUCUAUCUAAAUAAUAAUAUCUAUUCUGAAUAAUUGGCGUACAUAAUCAAUGUAUAUGUAUAAUAUUUCAGGAAUUUUCCCAAAGGGUACCUGCGUAUUUAUAUUUAACUUUUUCUAUAUGUUGCCUUGCUUUAUUUUAUACUCUUAAUAAUUUUGCUUCUGUUCAAAAAAAAAUUUAUAUCUUGAAAAAAUAAAAUGUUUAUAUAAACUGAAUGUUUUACAAUAAAUGCGUGAUAUACUAAGACUCUUGCUUA